AUUGAACGCUGGCGGCAUGCCUUACACAUGCAAGUCGAACGGCAGCACGGGAGCAAUCCUGGUGGCGAGUGGCGAACGGGUGAGUAAUAUAUCGGAACGUGCCCAGUCGUGGGGAUAACGUAGCGAAAGCUACGCUAAUACCGCAUACGAUCUAUGGAUGAAAGCGGGGGAUCGCAAGACCUCGCGCGAUUGGAGCGGCCGAUAUCAGAUUAGGUAGUUGGUGAGGUAAAGGCUCACCAAGCCGACGAUCUGUAGCUGGUCUGAGAGGACGACCAGCCACACUGGGACUGAGGACAACGGCCCAGACUCCUACGGGAGGCAGCAGUGGGAA
RNAcentral lists this ribosomal RNA (331 nucleotides) under uncultured bacterium. Its description in RNAcentral is "bacterial SSU rRNA". It matches the Rfam family "Bacterial small subunit ribosomal RNA", at positions 30 to 360 of the family's 1533-position model. The record is from RNAcentral.